GUUAAAUAAUUUAAAACAAAAAUAAUUACCUUGAAAGUAAAAAAUGGACCAACCUUUAACUUG
RNAcentral lists this transfer RNA (63 nucleotides) under Pseudophacopteron aewagriini. RNAcentral describes it as "tRNA-Ser". The record is from RNAcentral. Lineage: Eukaryota; Metazoa; Arthropoda; Insecta; Hemiptera; Phacopteronidae.